This 73-nucleotide transfer RNA is filed under the name Cricetulus griseus (Chinese hamster). It matches the Rfam family "tRNA". Rfam says of the family: Transfer RNA (tRNA) molecules are approximately 80 nucleotides in length. Their secondary structure includes four short double-helical elements and three loops (D, anti-codon, and T loops). Further hydrogen bonds mediate the characteristic L-shaped molecular structure. tRNAs have two regions of fundamental functional importance: the anti-codon, which is responsible for specific mRNA codon recognition, and the 3' end, to which the tRNAs corresponding amino acid is attached (by aminoacyl-tRNA synthetases). tRNAs cope with the degeneracy of the genetic code in two manners: having more than one tRNA (with a specific anti-codon) for a particular amino acid; and 'wobble' base-pairing, i.e. permitting non-standard base-pairing at the 3rd anti-codon position. Lineage: Eukaryota; Metazoa; Chordata; Mammalia; Rodentia; Cricetidae. The record is from Rfam by way of RNAcentral.
GGAGAUAUAACUCAGUUGGUAGAGUGUUUGUCUAGCAUGCAUAAAGCAACAAUGGGUUAAGUCCUUAUCACUA